AUGGCACAGCUAGCGACCGGGUGACUUUAUUCACCCGCUUCGGCUGUUAUCAGUCCAUACAAUGGGCGUUAUUAGCAGAAAUCAGUCCCAUAGAUAUGGGCCAUCCACCUGCUAGAUUGUUCAGAAGGUUGUUAUCAUCCAUCCAGAUGGAGGAUCACUGACAGGAGCGUGGAAGACUCCAGAAUCCACUCUGGCUGGAAUCCGGUGGAUACAGCAGUGUUACAGGUACAGUACGUGAUAUUAAGGGCAGGCGGUCAUCACUGGGGGAAGACAAGAAGCAGACGUACUUCCAAGAGGGAGCUGCAGUGAGGACACAGCCUGGUCACUGAGGAGGCACUGAAAGGUUUCCCUAAUAGUUCCUGGUGAAUCAAAGCAGAACCAUAAAGGUUGCUGGACUGCAUGAUGGCCUUACCCCUGAGCAGUCAUCCUGUUAAAGGAGGAACCAGUUAGAAGCUGUUUUCAAAGUAGCUGAGCAGAUUUCAUCUCAACAGACAAAGCCGAUGGCAGAAGAUGUUUGGAGAAGAACUUCAGGCCGUGUACUGACAAGAUCAAAGCAGCUCGUGCUCUUUCUGCUUCCAUUUUGAUGGCAAGAAGAAGAAGAAG
This is a long non-coding RNA of Pelmatolapia mariae (spotted tilapia), 603 nucleotides long. RefSeq lists it as uncharacterized. The record is from RefSeq and is a predicted model, not a curated record. NCBI's taxonomy places the organism in Eukaryota, Metazoa, Chordata, Actinopteri, Cichliformes, Cichlidae. The transcript has 5 exons.